GGAGGGAAAAAUGAAGUCAAACUCUAUUUCAGCCAUGCUUCUACUUCUACUCCUCAUUUUGUGUGGUAACAAGAAUUUAAAUUAUUUUUUGAUUUUCAAAACUAGAUGACUUAGUAGAGUUCAUAAAUUUAGAUGUAUGAAUUAAUUUGUUUAUUAUUAUAGUUUUCAGUAAUUAGAAUGAAUUGUUUGGUUAUGUGGUAGGAGGAGAAACAAUGAUAAAGAGUGUGGAAGGGCAGUAUUGUCAAAGGCUGCUGCCAAUAUCAACAUCACAGACAUGCUAUGAUUCAUUAUGCAUUAUUAGUUGCCAAAUUGAAUUUGGAGCUGCAGCCAAUGGAGCUUGUAUUGGGCCUCGUACAUGUAAUUGCAAUUACCUUUGUUGAUAAUUGCAAUUACCAUUGUUGAUGAUUGGCA
Molecule: long non-coding RNA, 411 nt
Filed under: Cucumis sativus (cucumber)
Lineage: Eukaryota; Viridiplantae; Streptophyta; Magnoliopsida; Cucurbitales; Cucurbitaceae
Description: long non-coding RNA (CSAT_LNC002879)
Source: RNAcentral